This 581-nucleotide long non-coding RNA is filed under the name Trifolium pratense (red clover). RNAcentral's name for it is "long non-coding RNA (TPRA_LNC010406)". The record is from RNAcentral. Lineage: Eukaryota; Viridiplantae; Streptophyta; Magnoliopsida; Fabales; Fabaceae.
CACUUUCUAUUUUAUUAUCACAGAUAGCAUCUGUGUGAUAGCUAGAUGUUUCUUCAAAAUAUGAUACUUCAGUCAUAUUGAUCUUUGAAAUAUUUUAACAUGUAUUUGAACAUUAUUUGAACAGAACUUUGAUAUUCUAUAGUAUUGAAAGAUGUUAAAUAAAUUUAACAUAAACAUGUUUAUACCUGAUUUGAUAUUCUUGAAUUUGAUCUUGAAUUGAUGACUUUCGUCUUUGUUAUCAGUCCACUACGACCGUCUAUAAUUCUUUCGAAUUUUGAUUUGUGAACGCUCCAGAGUAUUACCUCAACGUUCUGAUAGCCAGAGUAUUACCUCAACUAUCAACACUAAAAUCUUAAGAUUUUAGGAGAAAUGAAAAACUUCAUUCAAACUUAAUUUCAUUCCGAUUACAAACGAGCAUCAAGGCUCUUAUUUAUAGCGGAGUAGGACUCACAAGUAGUUCACAUGUCCUUAUCCGUGACAGCUAUUAAAGCAAAAGAAAAACGCACUAAAGAAAACGGACAAACAAUAAUUUACAUAAAGUAGAUGCCUUGGUGAUAAGGCAGUCUUAUCCGACCCUACAU